Pelmatolapia mariae (spotted tilapia) is the source of this 247-nucleotide long non-coding RNA. RefSeq lists it as uncharacterized. The transcript is spliced from 3 exons. NCBI's taxonomy places the organism in Eukaryota, Metazoa, Chordata, Actinopteri, Cichliformes, Cichlidae. The record is from RefSeq and is a predicted model, not a curated record.
CGAAGACUGGAUCCCACUUAUUUGUGGUAUAUCAGUAUCAUGCGUCAUUUUCAUGGCACUUAUCAUUUUCUGCGUCAAAUCAUGGUUACAUUCAGCAUUUCCUGUUCAAAUUUGUUGCUGUGGCUUGAAUAGCAGGGUGGAAGAGGAGUCUUCAGUGGUUUAUUCAUCAGUUAUCAUCAGGACACCCGGCAAAAGAAUUAAUCACAUGACCUCUAGUGAUUGUGUUUAUUGUGAAAUAAAAGUAUAG